This 400-nucleotide unclassified non-coding RNA is filed under the name soil metagenome. RNAcentral describes it as "partial contains 5.8S ribosomal RNA, internal transcribed spacer 2, and large subunit ribosomal RNA". The stretch from base 1 to 122 matches the Rfam family "5.8S ribosomal RNA", at positions 35 to 154 of the family's 154-position model. The record is from RNAcentral.
GAUGAAGAACGUAGCGAAAUGCGAUACUUGGUGUGAAUUGCAGAAUCCCGUGAACCAUCGAGUCUUUGAACGCAAGUUGCGCCUCAAGCCAUUAGGUUGAGGGCACGUCUGCCUGGGCGUCACAUAUCGUUGCCUGAUGCCAGUUUCCUCGUGAUGGGUGACUGUGCAGGGCGAAUGAUGGCUUCCCGUGAGCAUUGUUGCCUCAUGGUUGGAUGAAAAUUGAGUCCUUGGUAGGGAGCGCCGUGAUAGAUGGUGGUUGAGUGACGAACGAGACCCAAUCAUGUGAGACCCCUACCGAAUUUGGCCUUCAUGACCCACAUGCGUCUUUGGAACGCUCAUGACGAGACCUCAGGUCAGGCGGGGCUACCCGCUGAGUUUAAGCAUAUCAAUAAGCGGAGGA